RNAcentral lists this ribosomal RNA (497 nucleotides) under uncultured bacterium. RNAcentral's name for it is "partial 16S ribosomal RNA". It matches the Rfam family "Bacterial small subunit ribosomal RNA", at positions 28 to 507 of the family's 1533-position model. The record is from RNAcentral.
GACGAACGCUGGCGGCGUGCCUAAUACAUGCAAGUAGAACGCUGAAGAGAGGAGCUUGCUCUUCUUGGAUGAGUUGCGAACGGGUGAGUAACGCGUAGGUAACCUGCCUUGUAGCGGGGGAUAACUAUUGGAAACGAUAGCUAAUACCGCAUAACAAUGGAUGACACAUGUCAUUUAUUUGAAAGGGGCAAUUGCUCCACUACAAGAUGGACCUGCGUUGUAUUAGCUAGUAGGUGAGGUAAUGGCUCACCUAAGCGACGGUUCAUAGCCGACCUGAGAGGGGUGUCCGCCAAAAUGGGAACGGGACAAGGCCCAGGAUCCUAAGGGAGGGAGCAGGAGGGAAACUUUGGCAAAGGGGGCAACGCUGAACGAGGAACGCCGCGUGAGGGAAGAAGGGUGUCGGAUCGUAAAGAUCUGUUGUAAGUCAAGAAAGGGAGUGAGAGUGGAAAGUUCACACUGUGACGGUAGCUUACCAGAAAGGGACGGCUAACUACGUG